GACGAACGCUGGCGGCGUGCUUAACACAUGCAAGUCGAACGGAAAGGCCCUGCUUUUGUGGGGUGCUCGAGUGGCGAACGGGUGAGUAACACGUGAGUAACCUGCCCUUGACUUUGGGAUAACUUCAGGAAACUGGGGCUAAUACCGGAUAGGAGCUCCUGCUGCAUGGUGGGGGUUGGAAAGUUUCGGCGGUUGGGGAUGGACUCGCGGCUUAUCAGCUUGUUGGUGGGGUAGUGGCUUACCAAGGCUUUGACGGGUAGCCGGCCUGAGAGGGUGACCGGCCACAUUGGGACUGAGAUACGGCCCAGACUCCUGCGGGAGGCAGCAGUGGGGAAUAUUGCACAAUGGGCGGAAGCCUGAUGCAGCAACGCCGCGUGCGGGAUGACGGCCUUCGGGUUGUAAACCGCUUUCGCCUGUGACGAAGCGUGAGUGACGGUAAUGGGUAAAGAAGCACCGGCUAACUACG
RNAcentral lists this ribosomal RNA (466 nucleotides) under uncultured bacterium. RNAcentral's name for it is "partial 16S ribosomal RNA". It matches the Rfam family "Bacterial small subunit ribosomal RNA", at positions 28 to 505 of the family's 1533-position model. The record is from RNAcentral.